AGCUUUAUAAUUUAUAUAAUUAAAAUGCUAAUUUUGUAAAUUAGAAAAAAGAAUAAUCUUUAAAGCUU
This 68-nucleotide transfer RNA is filed under the name Vanhornia eucnemidarum. Its description in RNAcentral is "tRNA-Thr". Lineage: Eukaryota; Metazoa; Arthropoda; Insecta; Hymenoptera; Vanhorniidae. The record is from RNAcentral.